This 253-nucleotide ribosomal RNA is filed under the name uncultured bacterium. Its description in RNAcentral is "partial 16S ribosomal RNA". It matches the Rfam family "Bacterial small subunit ribosomal RNA", at positions 524 to 776 of the family's 1533-position model. The record is from RNAcentral.
UACGUAGGGAGCAAGCGUUGUCCGGAAUCAUUGGGCGUAAAGCGCGCGUAGGCGGCCCUGUAAGUCCGUUGUGAAAGUCAAAGGCUCAACCUUUGAAAGCCGAUGGAUACUGCAGGGCUAGAGUCCGGAAGAGGCGAGUGGAAUUCCUGGUGUAGCGGUGGAAUGCGCAGAUAUCAGGAAGAACACCAAUGGCGAAAGCAGCUCUCUGGGACGGUACUGACGCUGAGACGCGAAAGCGUGGGGAGCGAACAGG